This 460-nucleotide ribosomal RNA is filed under the name uncultured bacterium. RNAcentral's name for it is "partial 16S ribosomal RNA". It matches the Rfam family "Bacterial small subunit ribosomal RNA", at positions 338 to 795 of the family's 1533-position model. The record is from RNAcentral.
CCUACGGGGGGCAGCAGUGAGGAAUCUUCGUCAAUGGGCGAGAGCCUGAACGAGCCAAGUCGCGUGAGGGAUGAAGGAUCUAUGGUCUGUAAACUUUUUUUAUAUGGGAAUAAAGUGAGGAACGUGUUCCUUUUUGUAUGUACCAUAUGAUUAAGCAUCGGCUAACUCUGUGCCAGCAGCCGCGGUAAUACGGAGGGUGCGAGCAGUAGCCGGAUUUGUUUGGGUUAAAGGGUACGUAGGUGGUUAAUUAUGGCAGCGAUGAAAGUUUCUGGCUCUACCAUAAGAUUGCCGUUGAAACUGGUUGACUUGAGUAUAUUUGAGGUGAGCGGAAUGCGUGGUGUAGCGGUGAAAUGCGUAGAUAUAACGCGGAACCCCGAUGGCGAAAGCAGCAUGCCGGCUUCCGACUGACGCUGAAGCACGAAAGCGUGGGGAUCGAACAGGAUUAGAUACCCUUGUAGUC